GAUGAACGCUGGCGGCGUGCCUAAUACAUGCAAGUCGAGCGAGAGGCGGACGGGUGAGUAAUGUCUGGGAAACUGACUGAUGGAGGGGGAUAACUACUGGAAACGGUAGCUAAUACCGCAUACCAUCAGAUGGGCCCAGAUGGGAUUAGCUAGUAGGUGGGGUAAUGGCUCACCUAGGAGACGAUCCCUAGCUGGUCUGAGAGGAUGACCAGCCACACUGGAACUGAGACACGGUCUAGACUCCUCCGGGAGGCAGCAGUGGGGAAUAUUGCACAAUGGGCGCAAGCCUGAUGCAGCCAUGCCGCGUGUGUGAAGAAGGCCUUCGGGUUGUAAAGCACUUUCAGCGAGGAGGCGUUACUCGCAGAAGAAGCACCGGCUAACUCCGUGCCAGCAGCCGCGGUAAUAC
RNAcentral lists this ribosomal RNA (406 nucleotides) under uncultured bacterium. Its description in RNAcentral is "partial 16S ribosomal RNA". It matches the Rfam family "Bacterial small subunit ribosomal RNA", at positions 28 to 526 of the family's 1533-position model. The record is from RNAcentral.